GUGGGGAAUCUUCCGCAAUGGACGAAAGUCUGACGGAGCAACGCCGCGUGAACGAUGACGGCCUUCGGGUUGUAAAGUUCUGUUAUACGGGACGAAUGGCGUAACGGUCAAUACCCGUUACGAGUGACGGUACCGUAAGAGAAAGCCACGGCUAACUACGUGCCAGCAGCCGCGGUAAUACGUAGGUGGCAAGCGUUGUCCGGAAUUAUUGGGCGUAAAGGGCGCGCAGGCGGUCUGGUAAGUCGGUCUUAAAAGUGCGGGGCUUAACCCCGUGAGGGGACCGAAACUGCCAGACUAGAGUAUCGGAGAGGAAAGCGGAAUUCCUAGUGUAGCGGUGAAAUGCGUAGAUAUUAGGAGGAACACCAGUGGCGAAAGCGGCUUUCUGGACGACAACUGACGCUGAGGCGCGAAAGCCAGGGGAGCAAACGGGAUUAGAAACCCUAGUAGUCC
Molecule: ribosomal RNA, 450 nt
Filed under: uncultured bacterium
Lineage: Bacteria
Description: bacterial SSU rRNA
Rfam family: Bacterial small subunit ribosomal RNA
Source: RNAcentral